GGCGAGGCUGCGCCCUCGGCUCCCUACGGAUCCCGGCCGGCCGAGCGGCUCCAGGCCUGGUCCGGGAGCGCGGGGCCGCCAGGCAGCGGAGGGAGAGAUGAGGAGGACCCGGAGGCUCGCCGCGGGAGGGUGCCCAGGAUCUCAGAUCAGAGACCCUGAGACACUAUGAGGAGGCUCCUGACCUCAACGCUGGACACUGUCCUGGGACUGAGCGACCCUGCCAGCGGAGCCUCCUUAAAUUGUGUGCAGCUGUAAGCUCUUCCCAACAUCACCAGGUCAGGAAUUAGCCUGAGGAUUGUCUGGUACCUCAUUCUGGAUCAUCUCCCCUCUAUGCACCUCACAGGGAGACAGCACCCAAACCUUCAA
Molecule: long non-coding RNA, 366 nt
Organism: Equus quagga
Lineage: Eukaryota; Metazoa; Chordata; Mammalia; Perissodactyla; Equidae
Exons: 3
Source: RefSeq, a predicted model, not a curated record